Molecule: transfer RNA, 71 nt
Filed under: Candidatus Niyogibacteria bacterium RIFCSPHIGHO2_01_FULL_45_28
Lineage: Bacteria; Candidatus Niyogiibacteriota
Also listed under: 2 other names
Description: tRNA-Gln
Rfam family: tRNA
About the family: Transfer RNA (tRNA) molecules are approximately 80 nucleotides in length.
Source: RNAcentral
UGGGGAGUCGUCUAACGGUAGGACAUUGCCCUUUGGAGGCAAGUAUCCUGGUUCGAAUCCAGGCUCCCCAG